GAUGAAGAACGUAGUGAAAUGCGAUACGUAAUGUGAAUUGCAGAAUUCAGUGAAUCAUCGAAUCUUUGAACGCAUAUUGCGCUCUUUGGUAUUCAGAAGAGCAUGCUUGUUUGAGUAUCAGUAAACACCUCAACCUCUUCUUGAUUUUUCAAAAGGAGGGUGGACUUGAGCUAUCCCAACAACCUUUACCGGUCGGCGGGCGGCUUGAAAUGCAGGUGCAGCUGGACUUUUAUCUGAGCUAAAAGCAUAUCUAUUUAGUCCUCGUCAAACAGGAUUAUUACUUUUGCUGCAGCUAACAUAAAGGAUAAUUGUCCUCUUUGCUGACUGAUGCAGGAUUUUACGACACUUUAUGUGUUGUUCAACUCGAUCUCAAAUCAAGUAAGACUACCCGCUGAACUUAAGCAUAUCAAUAAGCGGAGGA
This 421-nucleotide unclassified non-coding RNA is filed under the name soil metagenome. RNAcentral describes it as "partial contains 5.8S ribosomal RNA, internal transcribed spacer 2, and large subunit ribosomal RNA". The stretch from base 1 to 120 matches the Rfam family "5.8S ribosomal RNA", at positions 35 to 154 of the family's 154-position model. The record is from RNAcentral.